GCUGGAGCACUAUCAGCUUAAGCAAAUUUUACUAUUCGCUAAGCAUUUUGUCUUUGUGGGCAUAUGUAAUUUCAGCUCUAUUGUAGUGAUUUCAAAUUUUUGGCACAAAGUCAGCAAAUUAGAUAGAGGGGAAUAAUCAAUUUACACAGACCCCAGU
Long non-coding RNA from Octopus sinensis (East Asian common octopus), 157 nucleotides. RefSeq lists it as uncharacterized. The transcript has 3 exons. The record is from RefSeq and is a predicted model, not a curated record. NCBI's taxonomy places the organism in Eukaryota, Metazoa, Mollusca, Cephalopoda, Octopoda, Octopodidae.